GUUUGACUUAUCUGAGGCAUCAGUGCUGUGAGGAAGCCCAAGCCACAUGGAAAGGCAACAUGGAGGAGUUCCAGCUCAGAGUGUGAGCUGAGAGUUCCAGACUGGGCUGACAGUCAGCAUGAACUGCCAGGCAUGCCUUUAGAUGAUUUCAGCCCUCAGUCUUUGAGUUGUCCCAGCUGAGAUCCAGAAAUUUUGGAACAGAGAGAAGUCAUCUGUACUACGACAUUUUAAAUCUUGACCCAUAAAAUUAGCGAGCAAAAUAAAAUGGUUAUUUUAUGACACUAAGUUUUGUGGUAGUUUGUUAGGUAGCAACAGCAACCGGAAGAGUAGCUUGGUGAACGUUUCCUCUUGUGCAGAAGACCCAAACCUCUGAAACGCUUCUCCCUCUUCAAGCCACAGUUUUGCUGAGAAAAAGGAUGCUCCUUUGGAAAUCUCCAGCUAAAAUAAAAUAAAUGAACCUUUGUUUGAGCUUCAUAUCUGGUGUUGGAAAAGUGGUUACCUCACCUAUCUGCUGCCUGUGUUCACAUUUCCAAGAAUGAACAUGAUGAAAAUCAAACAGAUGAGCCAGAGGGAAACGCAUCAGGAUUUCCGCCCAUCCUUGAAAAAGUUGCAACAGGAGAGAAGAGAGUUUCCCUUUGAACUGGGAUUUCGUCCUCAAAUAUUCCUCCAAUGUGAUGGACACCUGCAAACACGCAUGACUUUUUGGAAAAUCUUGUUUUAAAAAGUGAAGAUAUUGAAGCCUGGAGACGUGAAAUAAACACGCUGCCUGGGGUGACGCAGUUUAUGGGAAAUGACGAUGUUUCCAUGUUCUCAGGAACUGGGAAGUUUGUCUCACCAAGCAAAUGUUUGUUCUUCUUGGUGAAUAAGGAUCUGCCUAGUGUAUUUAUUACUUGAUUGUGUUUACGUUCCUUUGUGUUUGUCUCUGUCUACAUGGGUGGGAGAUUGCGUUUUUAACUCCCAAAUGGCAGGCCUGGUGCUUGGUGUCAUCUAAUAAUUCCUUCAAAUCCCUACGUCAAUCGGUAAGCCAGGGCAGGCUUGGCUUUCUCUCAUUAUUAGGGAUCUAUUUUGAGAUUCAGGCUUCACAUGAUACACAUGAAACAUGAAGCCAGCCAGAAGCCAUAAUUUUUAAUGGCUGAUUUUUGACAGAUCUUGCCCCAGAUGGUGGCACCAAUUCGCAAUUAUCAAAUGUGGGGGCAAGAGAAGAUGAAGGGAGUUAGUUACAUAGACUAGAAUGGAGGAUAUUCUCACACAUGCCUUUCAUAAGAAGCAUCAGCUGUAAGCAACCACCCCUCUAGAUGAAGGAAAGGGGGUGGCCACCCUGGUAAGCCUCUGAAAACAGUAAUAAAUAUGUAAGCUGUGAGGAAUAAUUAAUAAAACCAAAGAAACUUAAGAAGCUUGUUUUUCUCCUCCUCACUCCGAAUUUCUAUCAAAGCUCUCUCAUGGGUCCUUCAGAGAACUACAACUCUACUAAGUUUAAACUAAGUUUAAAAUAUAUAAGUAUCUGACUCACGAGAGAUUAUAAUGGAUGAGGUCUGACAUGUUGCAGGUUCUUUGUGCAGCUGCUUUUGGCUUGAAAAUGGGAGUCUUUUGUCUGCACCCAUCAGUGCCUUCAUUCCAUAGUGACAAAGUGGUGGUUUCAGAUGAAUGGCUAUGGGGAUGGAGAGGGACCAGAAGUUAGGGUGAAAGGGUGAUGUAUAGAUGGGAUUCACACUAUAACACAGAAGGCAGCAGUGAUGCCACAUAACAGCCCAGGUUUUAGAAUCAGUCAAACUCAGAUCUAAUCCAGGCUCUGUCCUAUGUUCUUUUGAGCAAGCUAUUCACAAGAUCUGAACUUUGACUUCGGCAUCUCUUAAACGAGGUUAAACAAUCACACCUACUACAAUGAAUGGAAGUAUAAUGCAAUCGUUAAAAGCCUCAGAUAUGGGCUCAUAACAGCUUCACAACCUUGGUCAAGUUACUGAACCUCUGCAGGCCUCAGUUUCCUCACUUGUCCAUGCAGUUAGUGGCACCUGAUCCACACAGUGGUUUUGAGAACUAAAGCUCCUGGCACAUAAUAAUUACUCAAUCAAUGUCAGUUAUUAUUCAUGAUCAACAAAUAUAUAUUAAGUGCCUUUUAUUUGUGGGGCACUGCCCAAACCACUGACGAAAGCAACUAAUGUACACGAAGUGCUUUGGUCAUAGAAGGCACGCAAGAAAUAUUUGAUGAAUGAAAGGGAAGGCAAGCCUCUUGGUGUGUCCCUAAGAUUUGGUUAGGCUUUGACUAUCCAAUCCAGCAUUCUUUAUGUGUUACUGGACAACUGGCUGGAUGGCUUUUUUUUAGCUGGUGUUGCUAAUUCCCAGUGAGUGGAGUCCAAAGUAUCCCCUUACCCAACAAUCAGUAGGAGGAGAGAAGGGAUUCAUUAUCCUCUUCUUUCUCUGAGGUCUCUUCUAUUGUCCUGAGAGGUGAUAGGGAACAGGACAGCCAAAGGAAAAGACACACGAAGUGGUCACAUGUAUCUUUUAUAAAAACGUACCUGAAAUGGAAAAUAAACUACAUAUUUUUUUCAGGUCUGAAGAUCAAAAGCAGGUGUCCUUAACCUAGAACGCUUGAAUGGGAUCAGUGAGUGUGAGAAUCUUCUAUAAUUGCAGCCGUAUUUGAUGUGUUCAUACAUUUUUCUGGGGAGAGAGGCCAUAGUUUUCAAAAGGUUUUAGAGUUUUAGGUUUUACUAUCUAGUAAAAGAUUAACAUUUAGCGGACAAUGAGUGUCGAAGACUGAAAUAAGAAAACUAAAGUGAUUUUGAGGUCAAAGCUUGGAUUUACGUAGUGUAAAUGUAAAUAAGAAGAAAUACCUGAGUCAGAAACAGGUGUGCAAGCUCAUCAGAUUCCAAAAGGGAUGAAAAAUCCACCUCACGGAAAGCAUUCACUGCAUAAUUGCUGUCAAGAUGCACUAAAGCCUGCCAGAUCCACGUACCUCGAUUAAUUAAGGCCUUGGAAGGUUUUUUGAGAGAUCAUAAUUACACAUUAUGAAAACACAUUCUCAACUACAGUUUCAACCCAUUGAUACUUUUAAUAGG
Molecule: long non-coding RNA, 3053 nt
Filed under: Equus caballus (horse)
Lineage: Eukaryota; Metazoa; Chordata; Mammalia; Perissodactyla; Equidae
Description: lncRNA (ENSECAG00000030543.2)
Source: RNAcentral